UAGGGAAUCUUCCACAAUGGACGCAAGUCUGAUGGAGCAACGCCGCGUGAGUGAAGAAGGUCUUCGGAUCGUAAAGCUCUGUUGUUGGUGAAGAAGGAUAGAGGCAGUAAAUGGUCUUUAUUUGACGGUAAUCAACCAGAAAGUCACGGCUAACUACGUGCCAGCAGCCGCGGUAAUACGUAGGUGGCAAGCGUUGUCCGGAUUUAUUGGGCGUAAAGCGAGCGCAGGCGGAAUGAUAAGUCUGAUGUGAAAGCCCACGGCUCAACCGUGGAACUGCAUCGGAAACUGUCAUUCUUGAGUGCAGAAGAGGAGAGUGGAACUCCAUGUGUAGCGGUGGAAUGCGUAGAUAUAUGGAAGAACACCAGUGGCGAAGGCGGCUCUCUGGUCUGCAACUGACGCUGAGGCUCGAAAGCAUGGGUAGCGAACAGGAUUAGAUACCCUGGUAGUCCAUGCCGUAAACGAUGAGCGCUAGGUGUU
Molecule: ribosomal RNA, 477 nt
Filed under: uncultured bacterium
Lineage: Bacteria
Description: partial 16S ribosomal RNA
Rfam family: Bacterial small subunit ribosomal RNA
Source: RNAcentral